CUGAAGACGGAAAGAGAGGCCGUCCGCGUACUGCGUAGCAGUUACAUCAGACUGAGACACUUCCUGUUUACAGGAGACUUUAUAAACCCCUGCCGCAUACUCAUUUGGUGCUGACGCCAUUGUAGACCUCAGCCCGUCUGUACCCAGGCGCUCAUUAGAACAGCGUGUUGCUCCACACCGCCUUGUGGUGUUUGUUACCGCGCUCUUGGGGUUCGAACCGAUACAGCAGGCUUGCAGCUAUUUCAUUGGUUUAAACUUUUAUUUUUUUAUUGCAAAUGAAAAUUACUAUCAACUAUCAUUACAAAGCUGUAGAAUAUGAAGUUCGAAGGAAAACGCUGAAUCAGUAUACAAAAGCGUCUCAAUCAGACUCAUCCAUUUUGAAGCAAUUCCUCUGCCAUUUUGCCACCUCCUCUCAAAUUCAGCGACUUACCAGAAAGCCUGUGUGGAUGAAUAUUGCUUCCAGGAGUCACAUAAUUACAUCUAAAAUCAUAGAAUGUUAGAGCUGGAGGAAUCUUUAGAGUUUGCCCAAGGUCCUUCACCAGCAUUUUACAGAAGAUUCUUCGAUUUAACUGCUCUUAAUUACAUCCCGUUGCACUGGCCCCAUCAAGUUGCUUUAAACAGCCCUUCUAGUCAACAGAGCUGCAGAGAAAAACCUUGGUUGGUUCAGGUCACUAGGAUGCAGAGCUGUCACACUUCAUUUGUGAGAACACUCCAGAGCUUCCUCCAGCUGCUGAUUCCAAACCAGCUUCACAGUGAGUGAGAUUGUACAGACAGAGGAGUGGCUUUGCCUUUACAAAAUUAUGAAAUACCAUACCCUUCAUAAUAUAAUGGUGGUUAUCUACAAAUAGGGGUGCUCUUUAAUUUGUGUGUGUGUGUGCGUAUGAUUAAAUAGCCACAUUUAAGGUUGCCAGGGCACUAGUGUUUGAAUCAGGAAACCUAAAUGUAACUUUCCUUAAUUGUUUAUAAUAUAGCCCUAAAUAAUAAUGAGU
This 989-nucleotide long non-coding RNA is filed under the name Homo sapiens (human). Its description in RNAcentral is "HSALNT0244532". Lineage: Eukaryota; Metazoa; Chordata; Mammalia; Primates; Hominidae. The record is from RNAcentral.